This 405-nucleotide long non-coding RNA is filed under the name Lathyrus oleraceus (garden pea). RNAcentral's name for it is "Pisum sativum (pea) long non-coding RNA (PSAT_LNC005637)". The record is from RNAcentral. Lineage: Eukaryota; Viridiplantae; Streptophyta; Magnoliopsida; Fabales; Fabaceae.
UUUUUUCUUCCUAAUUUUAACACAUAUUUGUCCAUAAAAACUGUCAUUUUCUUUAUUUCUUUUUUUCUUUGUAAAUUUUUUUAAACAACAUAUUAUGAUAUCAAUACAUUAUAUUUUAGAAUUUUAGAUAUUAAAAAACUCAAAUAUCAAAACAUUAUAAUUUAAGUCAAUAUAAUUAUUCAUAAAAAAUUCCCAUAUUUUCUUGUUUUAGUGUUUAACGCAUAUAUUUAAUUUUAAAAACGAGGUAUAAAAUAAGUAUAAAUUAUUCUACUUGUGCUGAUUUGGUGUAGUAAACAUAGUCACCUUGAGAAGGCUUCUAUGUUAAACAAAUGCUUUAAGUAGCUAAGUAAUAUGUAUAAGUAUGUGUCAUUUUCAUUCAAAUACAUCAAUUUGGAGUGUUUCAUC